Molecule: long non-coding RNA, 618 nt
Organism: Apis cerana (Asiatic honeybee)
Lineage: Eukaryota; Metazoa; Arthropoda; Insecta; Hymenoptera; Apidae
Source: RefSeq, a predicted model, not a curated record
CUUACAAAUAAUUUUCACUGUUGUAUUGUAUAUAAAAUAUUAUAUAUAAACAGAUUUAAUAUAAAACUUUUUAUAUUACAUAAAUUACAGUAUUAAAUAUAAUUAAUUUCUUUAUAUAUCUUUUUUUAUAGAAUUAUAGAGAUUUUACAUAUUUAUUGCAAUUGGCUAUAAUAUAAAGCAAUAAAUAUUUAAGGUUCAUUUACACAAUACGUCAGAUAUUUAUCGAAAGUUAACUAGGGGAUUUAAAUUGAACAAUACUUAAACGGAAUUUGACAAUAUUGAUUAAAUUUAAGAAAACUGAAAAAAAUAAAAUAAUAUAUAAAAAUGGAUAAUCAAUCAACAUCUUCAGCAUCUUUUUAUGAAUCUUCUUCACAGUAUAAAGAAGAAAAUACUAUAUUACUUUAUCAAAACAUAAAAAUGAUUUUGCAAGAUGUAUUGAAAGGUGUAAAUGAUGUUGAUAAAAACUUAAAAGAUAUAGAAGGAGACAUCAUAAAUACAGCUAAAUUGCUUAACGCAAUUGAAAUAAAAUCAAAUGAAAUUUAAUUAUUUUUUUAUAUUAGUAUUAAAUAAUGUACAAAUAAAAAAUCCAAAAUAAAUAAAAUUUUUUCUAAUUUUUAA